Molecule: long non-coding RNA, 204 nt
Filed under: Elaeis guineensis (African oil palm)
Lineage: Eukaryota; Viridiplantae; Streptophyta; Magnoliopsida; Arecales; Arecaceae
Description: long non-coding RNA (EGUI_LNC056577)
Source: RNAcentral
GAGGCAUGGCAGAUUAGAGCUCAGAGAGUCUGCCAAAAGAUAAAAGUCUAAGGAGAUUGUGAAGGAAUUCUAUUUCUUGCCCAAUGAUGCAGUAGUUGUAUCUUUGAACAUUGCAAACUAUGAUGUAUGUCGUAUCUUGGUAGAUAAUGGAAGCUCAACUGAUGCCUUAUUCUAUGAUGUGUUCUCCAAUAUGGUUAUUCCCUU